UGGUCUGUAGUUCAAUGGCAGAACGCUCGCCUGUUAAGCGAGUAGUUGUUGGUUCGAGUCCAGCCAGGCCAGC
This 73-nucleotide transfer RNA is filed under the name Mycobacterium phage Phabba. RNAcentral describes it as "tRNA-Asn". It matches the Rfam family "tRNA". From Rfam's summary of the family: Transfer RNA (tRNA) molecules are approximately 80 nucleotides in length. Their secondary structure includes four short double-helical elements and three loops (D, anti-codon, and T loops). Lineage: Duplodnaviria; Heunggongvirae; Uroviricota; Caudoviricetes. The record is from RNAcentral.